Molecule: ribosomal RNA, 439 nt
Filed under: uncultured bacterium
Lineage: Bacteria
Description: partial 16S ribosomal RNA
Rfam family: Bacterial small subunit ribosomal RNA
Source: RNAcentral
CCUACGGGAGGCAGCAGUGGGGAAUAUUGCACAAUGGGCGAAAGCCUGAUGCAGCAACGCCGCGUGAGCGAUGAAGGCCUUCGGGUCGUAAAGCUCUGUCCUCAAGGAAGAUAAUGACGGUACCUGAGGAGGAAGCCCCGGCUAACUACGUGCCAGCAGCCGCGGUAAUACGUAGGGGGCUAGCGUUAUCCGGAAUUAUUGGGUUAAAAGGGUGCGUAGGCGGACCGGAAAGUCAGCGGUAAAAGCCGGGGGCUCAACCCCGGCGAGCCGUUGAAACUGUCGGACUAGAGACGGCGAGAGGUACGUGGAAUGCGCGGUGUAGCGGUGAAAUGCGUAGAUAUCGGGCAGAACUCCAAUGGCGAAGGCGGCGUACCGGCGCCGGACUGACGCUGAGGCACGAAAGCGUGGGUAUCGAACAGGAUUAGAUACCCGAGUAGUC